UACGAAGGGGGCUAGCGUUGUUCGGAUUUACUGGGCGUAAAGCGCACGUAGGCGGAUUGUUAAGUGAGGGGUGAAAUCCCAGGGCUCAACCCUGGAACUGCCUUUCAUACUGGCAACCUCGAGUCCGGAAGAGGUGAGUGGAACUCCUAGUGUAGAGGUGGAAUUCGUAGAUAUUAGGAAGAACACCAGUGGCGAAGGCGGCUCACUGGUCCGGUACUGACGCUGAGGUGCGAAAGCGUGGGGAGCAAACAGG
This 253-nucleotide ribosomal RNA is filed under the name uncultured bacterium. RNAcentral describes it as "partial 16S ribosomal RNA". It matches the Rfam family "Bacterial small subunit ribosomal RNA", at positions 524 to 776 of the family's 1533-position model. The record is from RNAcentral.